GUGGUGCAUGGUUGUCGUCAGCUCGUGUCGUGAGAUGUUGGGUUAAGUCCCGCAACGAGCGCAACCCUUAUCCUUAGUAGCCAGCAGGUAAAGCUGGGCACUCUAGGGAGACUGCCAGGGAUAACCUGGAGGAAGGUGGGGAUAACGUCAAAUCAUCAUGCCCCUUAUGAUUUGGGCUACACACGUGCUACAAUGGCGUAAACAAAGGGAAGCGAAGUGGUGACAUGGAGCGAACCCCAAAAAUAACGUCUCAGUUCGGAUUGCAGGCUGCAACCCGCCUGCAUGAAGCCGGAAUCGCUAGUAAUCGCAGAUCAGAAUGCUGCGGUGAAUACGUUCCCGGGUCUUGUACACACCGCCCGUCACACCAUGGGAGUCGAUAACGCCCGAAGUCAGUGACCCAACCGAAAGGAGGGAGCUGCCGAAGGCGGGAUGGAUAACUGGGGUGAAGUCGUAACAAGGUAGCCGUAUCGGAAGGUGCGGUUGGAUCACCUC
Molecule: ribosomal RNA, 492 nt
Filed under: uncultured bacterium
Lineage: Bacteria
Description: bacterial SSU rRNA
Rfam family: Bacterial small subunit ribosomal RNA
Source: RNAcentral